RNAcentral lists this ribosomal RNA (384 nucleotides) under uncultured eukaryote. Its description in RNAcentral is "SSU rRNA". It matches the Rfam family "Eukaryotic small subunit ribosomal RNA", at positions 587 to 972 of the family's 1831-position model. The record is from RNAcentral.
AGCUCCAAUAGCGUAUACUAACGUUGUUGCAGUUAAAAAGCUCGUAGUUGGAUUUCUGUGUGGGUGAGGCGGCCGGCCACUCGUGGUUGUAGCUAGUUAUCACCUGUACAUCUUGUCACAAGCCACGCUGGUCUUAAUUGAUUGGCGCUGGGGACUGACUCGUUUACUUUGAGAAAAUUAGAGUGUUCAAAGCAGGCUAUCGCCUUGAAUAUAUUAGCAUGGAAUAAUGAUAUAGGACUUUGGUUCUAUUUUGGUGGUUGUUCGAGAACCGAAGUAAUGAUUGAUAGGGACAGUUGGGGGCGUCAGUAUUCUGAAGCGAGAGGUGAAAUUCUUGGACCUUCGGAAGACUAACAACUGCGAAAGCAUUCGCCUAGGAUGUUCUCA